This is a non-coding RNA of Kogia breviceps (pygmy sperm whale), 1140 nucleotides long. The record is from RefSeq and is a predicted model, not a curated record. Lineage: Eukaryota; Metazoa; Chordata; Mammalia; Artiodactyla; Physeteridae.
UCAGGUCGUCUUCCGGGAGUCGCCAAACACCAGAGGUAGCGGGAUGGCUGUGGCAGCUGCGGUUUCCUGACUCCGCGCCUGCGCAGAAAGCCCUUUGAGGGAGUGCGGUGGUGACUUACUAGGGCUCCGCACUUCUCAGCCCGACAGAGUUUGAAAAGUAACCUUGAGAGAGUCCCUCCCUUGAUUCCAGAGCACAGGCUCCGAACGCACAGGCCCAGUGGCCAUGGCUUAUGGGCUUAGCUGCUCCGCGGCAUGUGAAAUCUUCCCGAACCGGGGCACGAACCUGUGUCCCCUGCAUCGGCAGGCGGAUUCUCAACAACUGCGCCACUAGGGAAGCCCUAAACCUAUACUUCUAAGAUGAAACAAAUGAUAUCACUUAUAUCUUUGCUGGUUCAGAAAUCCCAGACUGAGGGCCAUAGUGCUCAAUCAGGAAUCAGGAUGCAAUACUGAUGGCAACCUCAUCCUCAAGAACAAAGGAUGAAGCUAGAGGUGUACCUGAUGCCUCAGUAGGAAAUUUACAGUUAAGAGGACAAGUUCUGAUCUGAUCUGAACCCAUAGAAUUCAAACUGGAGAAUGAGGUUUCUAUACCAUAUAUACUAUACAACUGGCCCUUUAGAUCAGCAGGUUCUACAUCCAUGAUUUUAACUAACUAUGGAUCACAGAUAUUCUUUAAAAAAAUUCCAGAAUGUUCCAAAAGCAAAAUUUGAAUUUUCCAAAUGCAACUACUUACACAGCAUUACAUUGUAUUAAGUAUUAUAAGUAAUCUAGAGAUGAUCUGUGUGUGUGUUUUAUUUACUAUUUCUGCAGGUAUUUAGGGCAUAAAUGUAUGAUCUUACUCUAAGAGAAUAUAGACUGAUGAUGCGUAGUACAAUGUGGGAUUAAAAUGUCUCUUUUAGCACAUCAAACUGAAAUGUAGUAGCUUUUGUUUCUUGGAGAUUUGGUUUGAAGUUUCUUUGUCAGAAAUAUUCAACACAGUGAUCUCUGGAGUGGAAAGAAACGAGCUUUUCAGAGAUAUGAAGCUGGGUAUAUUAUUUCCUCCUCACACAAAUCAGAAACUGGGUAGGGUAAAUUCACAUGAAAUUUAUUUCCACUUAGUCCUGACUUUGACACAUUCAGAGUUAACUUACCUCUAAGUUAACA